This 514-nucleotide ribosomal RNA is filed under the name uncultured bacterium. Its description in RNAcentral is "partial 16S ribosomal RNA". It matches the Rfam family "Bacterial small subunit ribosomal RNA", at positions 28 to 523 of the family's 1533-position model. The record is from RNAcentral.
GAUGAACGCUGGCGGCGUGCCUAAUACAUGCAAGUCGAGCGAAUGGAUUAAGAGCUUGCUCUUAUGAAGUUAGCGGCGGACGGGUGAGUAACACGUGGGUAACCUGCCCAUAAGACUGGGAUAACUCCGGGAAACCGGGCUAAUACCGGAUAACAUUUUGAACCGCAUGGUUCGAAAUUGAAAGGCGGCUUCGGCUGUCACUUAUGGAGGGACCCGCGUCGCAUUAGCUAGUUGGUGAGGUAACGGCUCACCAAGGCAACGAUGCGUGGCCGACCUGAGAGGGUGAUCGGCCACACUGGGACUGAGACACGGCCCAGACUCCUACGGGAGGCAGCAGUAGGGAAUCUUCCGCAAUGGACGAAAGUCUGACGGAGCAACGCCGCGUGAGUGAUGAAGGCUUUCGGGUCGUAAAACUCUGUUGUUAGGGAAGAACAAGUGCUAGUUGAAUAAGCUGACACCUUGACGGUACCUAACCAGAAAGCCACGGCUAACUACGUGCCAGCCGCCGCUGUAA